CCUACGGGUGACAGCAGUCGAGAAUCAUUCACAAUGGGGGAAACCCUGAUGCUGCGACGCCGCGUGGGGGAAUGAAGGUCUUCGGAUUGUAAACCCCUGUCAUGUGGGAGCAAAUUAAAAAGAUAGUACCACAAGAGGAAGAGACGGCUAACUCGGUGCCAGCAGCCGCGGUAAUACAACGGUCUCAAGCGUUGUUCGGAAUCACUGGGCGGAAAGCGUGCGUAGGCUGUUUCGUAAGUCGUGUGUGAAAGGCGCGGGCUCAACCCGCGGACGGCACAUGAUACUGCGAGACUAGAGUAAUGGAGGGGGAACCGGAAUUCUCGGUGUAGCAGUGAAAUGCGUAGAUAUCGAGAGGAACACUCGUGGCGAAGGCGGGUUCCUGGACAUUAACUGACGCUGAGGCACGAAGGCCAGGGGAGCGAAAGGGAUUAGAUACCCCAGUAGUC
This 446-nucleotide ribosomal RNA is filed under the name uncultured bacterium. RNAcentral describes it as "partial 16S ribosomal RNA". It matches the Rfam family "Bacterial small subunit ribosomal RNA", at positions 338 to 795 of the family's 1533-position model. The record is from RNAcentral.